RNAcentral lists this ribosomal RNA (639 nucleotides) under uncultured Akkermansia sp. RNAcentral's name for it is "bacterial SSU rRNA". It matches the Rfam family "Bacterial small subunit ribosomal RNA", at positions 20 to 681 of the family's 1533-position model. The record is from RNAcentral. Lineage: Bacteria; Pseudomonadati; Verrucomicrobiota; Verrucomicrobiia; Verrucomicrobiales; Akkermansiaceae.
GAAUUCACUAGUGAUUUGGCGGCGUGGUUAAGACAUGCAAGUCGAACGAGAGAAUUGCUAGCUUGCUAAUAAUUCUCUAGUGGCGCACGGGUGAGUAACACGUGAGUAACCUGCCCCCGAGAGCGGGAUAGCCCUGGGAAACUGGGAUUAAUACCGCAUAGCAUCGAAAGAUUAAAGCAGCAAUGCGCUUGGGGAUGGGCUCGCGGCCUAUUAGUUAGUUGGUGAGGUAACGGCUCACCAAGGCGAUGACGGGUAGCCGGUCUGAGAGGAUGUCCGGCCACACUGGAACUGAGACACGGUUCAGACACCUACGGGUGGCAGCAGUCGAGAAUCAUUCACAAUGGGGGAAACCCUGAUGGUGCGACGCCGCGUGGGGGAAUGAAGGUCUUCGGAUUGUAAACCCCUGUCAUGUGGGAGCAAAUUAAAAAGAUAGUACCACAAGAGGAAGAGACGGCUAACUCUGUGCCAGCAGCCGCGGUAAUACAGAGGUCUCAAGCGUUGUUCGGAAUCACUGGGCGUAAAGCGUGCGUAGGCUGUUUCGUAAGUCGUGUGUGAAAGGCGCGGGCUCAACCCGCGGACGGCACAUGAUACUGCGAGACUAGAGUAAUGGAGGGGGAACCGGAAUUCACGGUGUAGCAA